UGCGACAAACUGCCACAAACCUAGUAGGGA
Molecule: non-coding RNA, 30 nt
Filed under: Rattus norvegicus (Norway rat)
Lineage: Eukaryota; Metazoa; Chordata; Mammalia; Rodentia; Muridae
Source: RNAcentral